GAAAGGCUGCGUAAAAUUUUUUUGCGGCUGGAUGCAUAGAACCCCGUCAGUUUUAUGUGUCUCAAUUAGG
Firmicutes bacterium CAG:424 is the source of this 70-nucleotide regulatory RNA element. It matches the Rfam family "S4-Clostridia ribosomal protein leader". The record is from Rfam. NCBI's taxonomy places the organism in Bacteria, Bacillati, Bacillota.